AGGUAAACAUUUCUGCAGUGAAGCAUUUAUCAUUACUAGCUUUUUUUUUGGUGUGUGGUAGUUCCAGGGCUUGAACUCAGGGUCUGAUGCAUGAGCCACUCAUGCUCUGCUUUUCUAGUUCUCAUCACUCCAUUGUAUAACCAGUACUCCAAAACAUUCCUGCCAUCUAGCUGUAACUUAGCUCCUUGCACCAAACUUUCCCCAUCCCGCCCACUUGUCUUUAGUCCCAGCUACUUGGAGGGGCAGUGGCAGUAGCAUCAUUUUGCUCAGCCGGGCACUGGUAGCUCACAUCUGUAAUUCUAGCUACUCAGGAAGCUAAGAUGUGAGGAUCAUAGUUCAAAGCCAGCCUAGGCAGAUAAAUCAGAGACUCUGUAACUGUCUGAAAAUGGGUGGAAGUGGGUUGGGUGGUUAAAGUGGCAGAGCACCAGCCUUGAUCAAAAGUGCCAAGCAAGAGCUUCAGGUUCGGAGUGGAAGUCCCUGUUUAGAUAAAGAAAAAAAAGCUUGCUCAACUGUCCCAAUAAUCUAGGUUUUUAAAAAAAUGACCAGUACUGAUAGUAGGAAUUAUUUAUUAGAUAUACUAGGAAAAGAAAGAUCAAGGUUAACUGCCAACUUGGGGGCUUUCUCUUACCAUUUUUUUUUUCAGUGUAAGUCCUGGGGCUUGAACUCAG
This is a long non-coding RNA of Perognathus longimembris pacificus (Pacific pocket mouse), 668 nucleotides long. RefSeq lists it as uncharacterized. The transcript is spliced from 3 exons. The record is from RefSeq and is a predicted model, not a curated record. NCBI's taxonomy places the organism in Eukaryota, Metazoa, Chordata, Mammalia, Rodentia, Heteromyidae.